This 253-nucleotide ribosomal RNA is filed under the name uncultured bacterium. RNAcentral describes it as "partial 16S ribosomal RNA". It matches the Rfam family "Bacterial small subunit ribosomal RNA", at positions 524 to 776 of the family's 1533-position model. The record is from RNAcentral.
UACGUAGGGUGCGAGCGUUAAUCGGAAUUACUGGGCGUAAAGCGUGCGCAGGCGGUUCGUUGUGUCGGCGGUGAAAGCCCCGGGCUUAACCUGGGAAUGGCCGUUGAAACUGGCGAACUGGAGUGUGGCAGAGGGGGGUGGAAUUCCGCGUGUAGCAGUGAAAUGCGUAGAUAUCGGAAGGAACACCAGUGGCGAAAGCGGCUUCCUGGUCCAGCACCGACGUUCAGGCACGAAAGCGUGGGGAGCAAACAGG